RNAcentral lists this ribosomal RNA (253 nucleotides) under uncultured bacterium. Its description in RNAcentral is "partial 16S ribosomal RNA". It matches the Rfam family "Bacterial small subunit ribosomal RNA", at positions 1238 to 1500 of the family's 1533-position model. The record is from RNAcentral.
UACAGCGGGAAGCCACCUGGCGACAGGGAGCGGAACCCGAAAGCCUGUCUCAGUUCGGAUUGGAGCUGCAACCCGACUCCAUGAAGCUGGAUUCGCUAGUAAUCGCGCAUCAGCCACGGCGCGGUGAAUACGUUCCCGGGCCUUGUACACACCGCCCGUCAAGCCAUGGAAGCCGGGGGUGCCUGAAGUGCGCUGCCGCAAGGAGCGCCCUAGGGUAAAACCGGUGACUGGGGCUAAGUCGUAACAAGGUAGC